CCGCCCCGCCCCGCCCCGCCACACUCGCGGAUCAUCACACGGUCAGGCCACCGCGCGUCACCGCCCCGGGCUCUGCUACAAAGUGCCGGGGUCCAGAUUCCUUUCAGGUGACUGGGUUGGGAGGAGAAGUCGCUCAGCGUAAUUGUCGGAGCCGAAAUAAACAGAGACUCCGCGGCCGGGCGGGACCUUACCCGGAAGUCCCCCAGAACAGCACUACCCUUCGCUGAAACCUCGCCCGCCCCCUCCAACCCAGAGACGAAAAGGGAAAGCAUCACGGCCAGAAACUGUUGGCACAACUCCACAGAUACUCUCCCGGGCCGAGCCAGACUCCAUAAGUCCUGCGCCUGGCCCCCGGGGAUUGCAGGGGCUGAGGAGAAGGGCAACACGGGGACCUUGAAGCGGGGUCGCGGCGGCCCCGGCCCCGCCCCAGCCCGGGCCAGGGAGUCCCGGCAGCGGCACCUCCCAGAAAGGGCGGAGCCGACGACGCCUUCUUCCUUCCUGACCUGCGCGCGCAGCCUGCUGCUGCGGUCAGCGCCUGCUCCUGCUCCUCCGCUCCUCCUGCGCGGGGUGCUGAAACAGCCCGGGGAAGUAGAGCCGCCUCCGGGGAGCCCAACCAGCCGAACGCCGCCGGUGUCCGCAGCCUUGCGCGGCCACAGCAUGAUCGCUCGCGGCCUGGCCCUUGGCCUCCUCCUGCUGCUACUGUGUCCAGCGCAGGUGUUUUCACAGUCCUGUGUUUGGUAUGGAGAGUGUGGAAUUGCAUAUGGGGACAAGAGGUACAAUUGCGAAUAUUCUGGCCCACCAAAACCAUUGCCAAAGGAUGGAUAUGACUUAGUGCAGGAACUCUGUCCAGGAUUCUUCUUUGGCAAUGUCAGUCUCUGUUGUGAUGUUCAGCAGCUUCAGACACUAAAAGACAACCUGCAGCUGCCUCUACAGUUUCUGUCCAGAUGUCCAUCCUGUUUUUAUAACCUGCUGAACCUGUUUUGUGAGCUGACAUGUAGCCCUCGACAGAGUCAGUUUUUGAAUGUUACAGCUACUGAAGAUUAUGUUGAUCCUGUUACAAACCAGACGAAAACAAAUGUGAAAGAGUUACAGUACUACGUCGGACAGAGUUUUGCCAAUGCAAUGUACAAUGCCUGCCGGGACGUGGAGGCCCCCUCAAGUAAUGACAAGGCCCUGGGACUCCUGUGUGGGAAGGACGCUGACGCCUGUAAUGCCACCAACUGGAUUGAAUACAUGUUCAAUAAGGACAAUGGACAGGCACCUUUUACCAUCACUCCUGUGUUUUCAGAUUUUCCAGUCCAUGGGAUGGAGCCCAUGAACAAUGCCACCAAAGGCUGUGACGAGUCUGUGGAUGAGGUCACAGCACCAUGUAGCUGCCAAGACUGCUCUAUUGUCUGUGGCCCCAAGCCCCAGCCCCCACCUCCUCCUGCUCCCUGGACGAUCCUUGGCUUGGACGCCAUGUAUGUCAUCAUGUGGAUCACCUACAUGGCGUUUUUGCUUGUGUUUUUUGGAGCAUUUUUUGCAGUGUGGUGCUACAGAAAACGGUAUUUUGUCUCCGAGUACACUCCCAUCGAUAGCAAUAUAGCUUUUUCUGUUAAUGCAAGUGACAAAGGAGAGGCGUCCUGCUGUGACCCUGUCAGCGCAGCAUUUGAGGGCUGCUUGAGGCGGCUGUUCACACGCUGGGGGUCUUUCUGCGUCCGAAACCCUGGCUGUGUCAUUUUCUUCUCGCUGGUCUUCAUUACUGCGUGUUCGUCAGGUCUGGUGUUUGUCUGGGUCACAACCAAUCCAGUUGACCUCUGGUCAGCCCCCAGCAGCCAGGCUCGCCUGGAAAAAGAGUACUUUGACCAGCACUUUGGGCCUUUCUUCCGGACGGAGCAGCUCAUCAUCCGGGCCCCUCUCACUGACAAACACACUUACCAGCCAUACCCUUCGGGAGCCGAUGUACCCUUUGGACCUCCGCUUGACAUACAGAUACUGCACCAGGUUCUUGACUUACAAAUAGCCAUCGAAAACAUUACUGCCUCUUCUAACAAUGAGACUGUGACACUUCAAGACAUCUGCUUGGCCCCUCUUUCACCGUAUAACACGAACUGCACCAUUUUGAGUGUGUUAAAUUACUUCCAGAACAGCCAUUCCGUGCUGGACCACAAGAAAGGGGACGACUUCUUUGUGUAUGCCGAUUACCACACGCACUUUCUGUACUGUGUACGGGCUCCUGCCUCUCUGAAUGAUACAAGUUUGCUCCAUGACCCUUGUCUGGGUACGUUUGGUGGACCAGUGUUCCCGUGGCUUGUGUUGGGAGGCUAUGAUGAUCAAAACUACAAUAACGCCACUGCCCUUGUGAUUACCUUCCCUGUCAAUAAUUACUAUAAUGAUACAGAGAAGCUCCAGAGGGCCCAGGCCUGGGAAAAAGAGUUUAUUAAUUUUGUGAAAAACUACAAGAAUCCCAAUCUGACCAUUUCCUUCACUGCUGAACGAAGUAUUGAAGAUGAACUACGUCGUGAAAGUGACAGUGAUGUCUUCACCGUUGUAAUUAGCUAUGCCAUCAUGUUUCUAUAUAUUUCCCUAGCCUUGGGGCACAUCAAAAGCUGUCGCAGGCUUCUGGUGGAUUCGAAGGUCUCACUAGGCAUCGCGGGCAUCUUGAUCGUGCUGAGCUCGGUGGCUUGCUCCUUGGGUGUCUUCAGCUACAUUGGGUUGCCCUUGACCCUCAUUGUGAUUGAAGUCAUCCCGUUCCUGGUGCUGGCUGUUGGAGUGGACAACAUCUUCAUUCUGGUGCAGGCCUACCAGAGAGAUGAACGUCUUCAAGGGGAAACCCUGGAUCAGCAGCUGGGCAGGGUCCUAGGAGAAGUGGCUCCCAGUAUGUUCCUGUCAUCCUUUUCUGAGACUGUAGCAUUUUUCUUAGGAGCAUUGUCCGUGAUGCCAGCCGUGCACACCUUCUCUCUCUUUGCGGGAUUGGCAGUCUUCAUUGACUUUCUUCUGCAGAUUACCUGUUUCGUGAGUCUCUUGGGGUUAGACAUUAAACGUCAAGAGAAAAAUCGGCUAGACAUCUUUUGCUGUGUCAGAGGUGCUGAAGAUGGAACAAGCGUCCAGGCCUCAGAGAGCUGUUUGUUUCGCUUCUUCAAAAACUCCUAUUCUCCACUUCUGCUAAAGGACUGGAUGAGACCAAUUGUGAUAGCAGUAUUUGUGGGUGUUCUGUCAUUCAGCAUCGCAGUCCUGAACAAAGUAGAUAUUGGAUUGGAUCAGUCUCUUUCGAUGCCAGAUGACUCCUACGUGGUGGAUUAUUUCAAAUCCAUCAGUCAGUACCUGCAUGCGGGUCCGCCUGUGUACUUUGUCCUGGAGGAAGGGCACGACUACACUUCUUCCAAGGGGCAGAACAUGGUGUGCGGCGGCAUGGGCUGCAACAAUGAUUCCCUGGUGCAGCAGAUAUUUAACGCGGCGCAGCUGGACAACUAUACCCGAAUAGGCUUCGCCCCCUCGUCCUGGAUCGACGAUUAUUUCGACUGGGUGAAGCCACAGUCGUCUUGCUGUCGAGUGGACAAUAUCACUGACCAGUUCUGCAAUGCUUCAGUGGUUGACCCUGCCUGCGUCCGCUGCAGGCCUCUGACUCCGGAAGGCAAACAGAGGCCUCAGGGGGGAGACUUCAUGAGAUUCCUGCCCAUGUUCCUUUCGGAUAACCCUAACCCCAAGUGUGGCAAAGGGGGACAUGCUGCCUAUAGUUCUGCAGUUAACAUCCUUGGCAAUGGCACCAGGGUCGGAGCCACGUACUUCAUGACCUACCACACCGUGCUGCAGACCUCUGCUGACUUUAUUGACGCUCUGAAGAAAGCCCGACUUAUAGCCAGUAAUGUCACCGAAACCAUGGGCAUUAACGGCAGUGCCUACCGAGUAUUUCCUUACAGUGUGUUUUAUGUCUUCUACGAACAGUACCUGACCAUCAUUGACGACACUAUCUUCAACCUCGGUGUGUCCCUGGGCGCGAUAUUUCUGGUGACCAUGGUCCUCCUGGGCUGUGAGCUCUGGUCUGCUGUCAUCAUGUGCGCCACCAUCGCCAUGGUCUUGGUCAACAUGUUUGGAGUUAUGUGGCUCUGGGGCAUCAGUCUGAACGCUGUAUCCUUGGUCAACCUGGUGAUGAGCUGUGGCAUCUCCGUGGAGUUCUGCAGCCACAUAACCAGAGCGUUCACGGUGAGCACGAAAGGCAGCCGCGUGGAGCGCGCGGAAGAGGCACUCGCCCACAUGGGCAGCUCCGUGAGUACCCUGAGCAGGGCCACGCCGGCAGAGUCGCACCACAAAGUAAUCCUCCUCAGUGACUGAAGAGUCUGGAUCCUGUACUUACAAAGCAGCUUCUAAGGAUUGCAAGCUUUCAGGCAAUUCAUGAAUUAGCUGCCACAUCGUGGACAGAACGGACAUUCUGUGGAACUGUACCUGUUGGUGUUCAGUGGAAUCACACUUACAAAAUUUGGAGGGAUUGUGGUGUUGGCUUUUGCCAAAUCUCAAAUUUUCCAGAUAUUCUACUUCAGGAUGUAUUUGGCCAUGGUCUUACUGGGAGCCACUCACGGAUUAAUAUUUCUCCCUGUCUUACUCAGUUACAUAGGGCCAUCAGUAAAUAAAGCCAAAAGUUGUGCCACUGAAGAGCGAUACAAAGGAACAGAGCGCGAACGGCUUCUAAAUUUCUAGCCCUCUCGCAGGGCAUCCUGACUGAACUGUGUCUAAGCGUCGGUCGGUUUACCACUGGACGGGUGCUGCAUUGGCAAGGCCAAGUUGAACACCGGAUGGUGCCAACCAUCGGUUGUUUGGCAGCAGCUUUGAACAUAGCGCCUGUGAACUCAGGAAUGCACAGUUGACUUGGGAAGCAGUAUUACUAGAUCUGGAGGCAACCACAGGACACUAAACUUCUCCCAGCUUCUUCAGGAAAGAAAGAAACCUCAUUCUUUGGCAAGCAGGAGGUGACACUAGAUGGCUGUGAAUGUGAUCCGCUCACUGACACUCUGUAAAGGCCAAUCAAUCAAUGCACUGUCUCUCCUUUUAGGAGUAAGCCAUCCCACAAGUUCUAUACCAUAUUUUUAGUGACAUUUGAGGUUGUAGAUACACUUUGUAACAUUUUAUAGUUUAAAGAGCUUUAUUAAUGCAAUAAAUUAACUUUGUACACAUUUUUAUAUAAAAAAAACAGCAAGUGAUUUCAGAAUGUUGUAGGCCUCAUUACAGCUUGGUCUCCAAAAAUCUGUUUGAAAAAAGCAACAUGUUCUUCACAGUGUUCCCCUAGAAAGAGAUUUAAUUGCCAGUUAGAUGUGGCAUGAAAUGAGGGACAAAGAAAGCAUCUCGUAGGUGUGUCUACUGGGUUUUAACUUAUUUUUCUUUAAUAAAAUACAUUGUUUUCCUAA
Pan troglodytes (chimpanzee) is the source of this 5378-nucleotide RNA transcript. It is a transcript of the gene named NPC intracellular cholesterol transporter 1, with no coding region annotated. The record is from RefSeq and is a predicted model, not a curated record. The transcript has 25 exons. Lineage: Eukaryota; Metazoa; Chordata; Mammalia; Primates; Hominidae.